This 301-nucleotide ribosomal RNA is filed under the name uncultured bacterium. RNAcentral describes it as "partial 16S ribosomal RNA". It matches the Rfam family "Bacterial small subunit ribosomal RNA", at positions 509 to 807 of the family's 1533-position model. The record is from RNAcentral.
CAGUCGCCGCGGGAAUACAGAGGGUGCGAGCGUUAAUCGGAUUUACUGGGCGUAAAGCGCGCGUAGGUGGUUUGUUAAGUUGGAUGUGAAAGCCCCGGGCUCAACCUGGGAACUGCAUCCAAAACUGGCAAGCUAGAGUACGGUAGAGGGUGGUGGAAUUUCCUGUGUAGCGGUGAAAUGCGUAGAUAUAGGAAGGAACACCAGUGGCGAAGGCGACCACCUGGACUGAUACUGACACUGAGGUGCGAAAGCGUGGUGAGCAAACAGGAUUAGAUACCCCCGUAGUCCCUGUCUCUUAUAC